GGGCAAUGAAGAAAAUAACAAGGUUCGCUCGUCGUACGUAAUGGCAAAAAAUGCCUUGACGACUCUUCUUGAAUAUUGCUCUGAGCCC
This 88-nucleotide small nucleolar RNA is filed under the name Corchorus capsularis. RNAcentral's name for it is "snoRNA snoZ43". Lineage: Eukaryota; Viridiplantae; Streptophyta; Magnoliopsida; Malvales; Malvaceae. The record is from RNAcentral.